RNAcentral lists this ribosomal RNA (253 nucleotides) under uncultured bacterium. RNAcentral describes it as "partial 16S ribosomal RNA". It matches the Rfam family "Bacterial small subunit ribosomal RNA", at positions 524 to 776 of the family's 1533-position model. The record is from RNAcentral. RNAcentral also lists the same sequence under 1 other name.
UACAGAGGGUGCAAGCGUUGUUCGGAAUUAUUGGGCGUAAAGGGCGCGUAGGCGGUGCGGUAAGUCUUUUGUGAAAUCUCCGGGCUCAACUCGGAGUCUGCAGGAGAAACUGCCGUGCUUGAGUAUGGGAGAGGUGAGUGGAAUUCCUGGUGUAGCGGUGAAAUGCGUAGAUAUCAGGAGGAACACCUGUGGCGAAAGCGGCUCACUGGACCAUUACUGACGCUGAGGCGCGAAAGCUAGGGGAGCAAACAGG